UACGUAGGGUGCGAGCGUUGUCCGGAAGUUAUUGGGCGUAAAGAGCUUGUAGGCGGUUUGUCGCGUCUGCUGUGAAAAUCCGGGGCUCAACCCCCGGACUUGCAGUGGGUACGGGGCAGACUUAGAGUGUGGUAGGGGAGACUGGAAUUCCUGGUGUAGCGGUGAAAUGCGCAGAUAUCAGGAGGAACACCGAGUGGCGAAGGCAGGUCUGCUGG
Molecule: ribosomal RNA, 215 nt
Filed under: uncultured bacterium
Lineage: Bacteria
Description: partial 16S ribosomal RNA
Rfam family: Bacterial small subunit ribosomal RNA
Source: RNAcentral